RNAcentral lists this long non-coding RNA (637 nucleotides) under Oryza brachyantha (malo sina). RNAcentral's name for it is "long non-coding RNA (OBRA_LNC002045)". The record is from RNAcentral. Lineage: Eukaryota; Viridiplantae; Streptophyta; Magnoliopsida; Poales; Poaceae.
AAAGCCCCUAAAACUUCAGUUCAAACUGCAUGCCCCAGUCACUUUUGCUUGUUGUCAUCAUUGAGAAGCCAGAAGGGACAAGCCAUCACCAUGAACGAGCCAUCGACCUUAGCAGCUACGACGGCACAACACGAUUGUUCCUCGGGGAGCUCUGCACUUUGUGCACAAGUAAGCCUUCAGGUCGUCUGCAUUGCCUUCCCCGCAUGCUUGUUCAAGUAGGUUGCAUGUCAACCCGACCAACCAAUCAACCAACUAGCAAGAACAGUAAAUAGAAAUUGAUUGAAGCAGCUAGUCACACAAAACAGACCCUGCUCCUACUAAGAUUCAUUCCCAGGCUUGUUAGGCAGCGGCAAGAGCAUGGCGAUUGAGAAGGAGACAAAGUCAACAACAAACCAACCUCCAUUUGGACAGACAAAAAACUAUAAUCUAACGAGGAAAACCACAAGAAUAUAGCCACGGCAGAAUGCUACCAAUACCUACAGCUCGCGGAGCAGUGCUCCCUGGACUAUGGAGCCUCCCCACCCUCAAGAGAGGAAAGACCAGAGGAGCAGAGCUACUGAGCUGGGUGGUAGUGGUGGACGAGGAGGAAGAUUAAGAAAAGAGAAAGAGCAAGACAAUGUUGGGCUGGUUGCUGCAG